RNAcentral lists this ribosomal RNA (344 nucleotides) under uncultured bacterium. RNAcentral describes it as "partial 16S ribosomal RNA". It matches the Rfam family "Bacterial small subunit ribosomal RNA", at positions 338 to 699 of the family's 1533-position model. The record is from RNAcentral.
CCUACGGGAGGCAGCAGUGGGGAAUAUUGCACAAUGGGGGAAACCCUGAUGCAGCGACGCCGCGUGAGCGAUGAAGUAUUUCGGUAUGUAAAGCUCUAUCAGCAGGGAAGAAGACGACGGUACCCGACUAAGAAGCACCGGCUAACUACGUGCCAGCAGCCGCGGUAAUACGUAGGGGGCAAGCGUUAUCCGGAUUUAUGGGGUGUAAGGGGAGCGUAGACGGCGAUGCAAGUGAGAUGUGAAAGCCCGGGGCUCAACCCCGGAACUGCAUUUGGAACUGUGUGGCUGGAGUGUCGGUGAGGCAGGCGGAAUUCCUGGUGUAGCGGUGAAAUGCGUAGAUAUUA